This is a non-coding RNA of Paramuricea clavata, 581 nucleotides long. The record is from the annotation of a GenBank genome assembly. Lineage: Eukaryota; Metazoa; Cnidaria; Anthozoa; Malacalcyonacea; Plexauridae.
UCAUAGAUAUAGGAGAUCUAGAUUGCUAACGCAUACCUAGCGCAGGUGGGGCCUACAUGAUAAAUCCAAGAUGGCGGUACAACAGGGCAAAAAGCCUAUAGAUUCUAUUACGAAAAUCAGGAUUUUUGCCUUUUUGCCGUCGCAUUGUUUUGAAACUUAUUCGGUCAAAUUUUAUGGUAAAGAGAAACUUACCGCGAAGAUUUUGAGCACAUAUAUGAUUGAAUUGGAUGAAAACUCGCAAAAUUAUCCAUCGAUAAAAGUUCGUGUAUAGUACUGAUAUAGUACAAUAUAUGUAACUUGUACAGUUUUGCUUUAAUUUUUGCUCACUAUUUGCAUAAAAAGCAAAUUAUAACAGACCAUAGAUGAUAGACCCUCAUCCAGUGCUCUCAUCAGUUUACUUCUCUAACAAGCAAGGGGGGGGGGGAGGGGGGUUACAUAACAGUUCAUUUUUUAUAAUUAUGAGGACAGAGCAGAUGAUGAUGAGAGAUGCAAGUAUAAAACACCAUUCACAAGGCUAGAUGUUAACAUAGCACAGUAUUUCUGGCAAUAAAACGCUCCAACUGACCAACUGACCAUUUCAC